This 56-nucleotide transfer RNA is filed under the name Anaerolineae bacterium. RNAcentral describes it as "tRNA-Leu". It matches the Rfam family "tRNA", at positions 9 to 63 of the family's 71-position model. Rfam says of the family: Transfer RNA (tRNA) molecules are approximately 80 nucleotides in length. Their secondary structure includes four short double-helical elements and three loops (D, anti-codon, and T loops). The record is from RNAcentral. Lineage: Bacteria; Bacillati; Chloroflexota; Anaerolineae.
GGCUUAUCGGUAUAGCACCGGACUCAAAAUCCGGAGGUAGAGGUUCAAACCCUCUC